This 253-nucleotide ribosomal RNA is filed under the name uncultured bacterium. RNAcentral's name for it is "partial 16S ribosomal RNA". It matches the Rfam family "Bacterial small subunit ribosomal RNA", at positions 524 to 776 of the family's 1533-position model. The record is from RNAcentral.
UACGUAGGGUGCAGGCGUUAAUCGGAAUUACUGGGCGUAAAGCGUGCGCAGGCGGUUUGGUAAGACAGGUGUGAAAUCCCCGGGCUUAACCUGGGAACUGCGCUUGUAACUGGCAAGCUUGAGUGUGGCAGAGGGGGGUGGAAUUCCACGUGUAGCAGUGAAAUGCGUAGAGAUGUGGAGGAACACCGAUGGCGAAGGCAGCCCCCUGGGCUAACACUGACGCUCAUGCACGAAAGCGUGGGGAGCAAACAGG